CUCCAGACUCCUACGGGAGGCAGCAGUGAGGAAUAUUGGUCAAUGGGCGAGAGCCUGAACCAGCCAAGUCGCGUGAGGGAGGACGGCCCUACGGGUUGUAAACCUCUUUUGCCGGGGAACAAACGGCGGCACGCGUGCCGUCCUGAGGGUACCCGGAGAAAAAGCAUCGGCUAACUCCGUGCCAGCAGCCGCGGUAAUACGGAGGAUGCGAGCGUUAUCCGGAUUUAUUGGGUUUAAAGGGUGCGUAGGCGGUCCGUUAAGUCAGCGGUAAAAUUGCGGGGCUCAACCCCGUCGAGCCGUUGAAACUGGCAGACUUGAGUUGGCGAGAAGUACGCGGAAUGCGCGGUGUAGCGGUGAAAUGCAUAGAUAUCGCGCAGAACUCCGAUUGCGAAGGCAGCAUACCGGCGGCGAUCUGACGCUGAGGCACGAAAGCGUGGGUAUCGAACAGGAUUAGAUACCCGAGUA
This 465-nucleotide ribosomal RNA is filed under the name uncultured bacterium. RNAcentral's name for it is "bacterial SSU rRNA". It matches the Rfam family "Bacterial small subunit ribosomal RNA", at positions 329 to 792 of the family's 1533-position model. The record is from RNAcentral.